AGAGUUUGAUCCUGGCUCAAGAUGAACGCUGGCGGCGUGCCUAACACAUGCAAGUCAAGCGAAGCGCUUAAGUCUUAAUCUUCGGAGGAAGGCUUUUGUGACUGAGCGGGGGACGGGUGAGUAACGAGUGGGUAACCUGCCUUAGACCGGGGGAUAACAGUUACAAAUGACUGCUAAUACCGCAUAAGAUCACAGUACUGCAUGGUACAGUGGUAAAAACUGACGUGGUUGUAAGAUGGACCCGCGUCUGAUUACGUAGUUGGUGGGGUAACGGCCCACCAAGCCGACGAUCAUUAGGCCGGCCUGAGAGGGUGGACGCCCCCAUUGGGACUGAGACACGGCCCAGACUCCUACGGGAGGCACCAGUGGGGAAUAUUGCCCAAUGGGGGAAACCCUGAUGCAGCGACGCCGCGUGAGCGAUGAAGUAUUUCGGUAUGUAAAGCUCUUUCACCAGGGAAGACAAUGACGGUACCUGACUAAGAAGCCCCGGCUAAAUACGUGCCAGCAGCCGCGGUAAUACGUAGGGGGCGAGCGUUAUCCGGAUUUACUGGGUGUAAAGGGAGCGUAGACGGCCAUGCAAGCUCGGUGUGAAAGGUGCGGGCCCAACUCGCAGACUGCAUUGAGAACUGUAUGGCUGGAGUGCCGGAGGGGCAGGCGGAAUUCCUGGUGUAGCGGUGAAAUGCGUAGAUAUCAGGAGGAACACCGGUGGCGAAGGCGGCCUGCUGGACGGCGACUGACGUUGAGGCUCGAAAGCGUGGGGAGCGAACAGGAUUAGAUACCCUGGUAGUCCACGCCGUAAACGAUGUAUAGCAGGUGUGGGGCAUCAAGGAUGCCCGGUCCCGCAGCAAAUCGCAUUAAGUAUACCACCUGGGGAGUACGUUGGCAAGAAUGAAACUCAAAGGAAUUGACGGGGACCCGCACAAGCGGUGGAGCAUGUGGUUUAAUCAGAAGCAACGCGAAGAACCUUACCAAGCUCUUGACAUCCCGCGGACAGGGGUGUAACGUGCCCCCUCCCUUCGGGGCAUCCGGUGACAGGUGGUGCAUGGUGGUCGUCAGCUCGUGUCGUGUAGACGAUGGGUCAAGUCCCCCAACGAGCGCAACCCCUGCUUCUCAGUAGCCAGCACGGAGAGGUGGGCACUCUGGAGGGACUGCCGGGGAUGACCCGGAGGAAGGCGGGGAUGACGUCAAAUCAUCAUGCCCCCUAUGGCUUGGGCUACACACGUCAUCCAAUGGCGCACACAAAGGGAGGGGAAGGGGCGACCCGGAGCAAACCCCAGAAAAGGCGCCCCAGUUAGGAUCGCAGCCUGCAACCCGGGUGCGUGAAGCUGGAAUCGCUAGUAAUCGCGGAUCAGAAUGCCGCGGUGAAUACGUUCCCGGCUCUUGUAAUCACCGCCCGUCA
This 1399-nucleotide ribosomal RNA is filed under the name uncultured bacterium. RNAcentral describes it as "bacterial SSU rRNA". It matches the Rfam family "Bacterial small subunit ribosomal RNA". The record is from RNAcentral.